UGACGUUUGGAUGAAGCCCUGCAACACAGUGGUGGUGCAGGAUCUUCUCCAGAAGGCCCAGCAGUUCCACCAAUGGCAAACCCAAGUUAAUGCUCCCUGCUGGUCCCUUGUGGUCCCCAGCAUGCAGUGUUUGCUGGAUCCCAGACUGCUCAAGUGGGAGCUGAGAGGAAGACUGAGCACCUUGUCAAUGGGCGCUUCUUCCAGGAAGGAGGAGAACCAUGAGCCUUUUCCACAAUGCCUGCUUGCAGAACUGGGACUGGCUCCAGGGUGGGUGGCAGCAUCCCAGGGCCCGGAGCAGCAAGCAUCAGGAGCCCAAACGCCUGCUCAAAAAGGAGAAAAGCCCCAGGAGCCAAGUCAGCCUGCUGCAUGGAACGAAGAGAACCCAGGACAAGCUUCUGUCUCUGGACACCUUUUAACCUGUCAGUAGCUGAUGGCCUCAAGAUCUGCACACACUCAAAAAGCCCUCAGUGCUUGGCACCAGGAUCCAGAGCUCCAGGAGGUUUCAGUGGGCAGCAGCAGGGCCAGAUGCUGACCUCCUCACCUGCCGCAGGACCUGCUUCCCUCCCUCCUCCACCUGCACUACGCGUGCUUGGCGCUGCCACCCCCACAUCCUCAGCUCAACCCUCCCCAGGCUGUGAUGCCAGCAGCUGCUGGGGCUCUCCACCGUGGGGCCUCGUCCCCUUGCCGCAGCUGGGACACAGGCAUGUUCUCCAGGGAAGGUGUUUUCUCCAGCAAGAUACGUACCAGACGACCUAA
Molecule: long non-coding RNA, 756 nt
Filed under: Cairina moschata (Muscovy duck)
Lineage: Eukaryota; Metazoa; Chordata; Aves; Anseriformes; Anatidae
Description: domestica (muscovy Duck (domestic type)) lncRNA (ENSCMMG00000005085.1)
Source: RNAcentral